CCGCAAGGCGAUGUAUACGGACUGACGCCUGCCCGGUGCUGGAAGGUCAAGAGGAUCCCUCAGCCCCCUUCACGGGGCGAAGGGGUGAGUUCAAGCCCCAGUAAACGGCGGUGGUAACUAUAACCAUCCUAAGGUAGCGAAAUUCCUUGUCGGGUAAGUUCCGACCUGCACGAAUGGCGUAACGACUUCCCCGCUGUCUCCACCACGGGCUCGGCGAAAUUGCACUACGAGUAAAGAUGCUCGUUACGCGCAGAAGGACGGAAAGACCCCGGGACCUUUACUACAGCUUGGUACUGGCGUCCGCCGCGGCCUGUGCAGGAUAGGUGGGAGACCGUGAGGCCGUCGCGUCAGCGGCGGCGGAGUCGUUGUUGAGAUACCACUCUGGCCGUGGCGUGCGCCUGAACCUCGGCCCGUGACCCGGGUCAGGGACAGUGCCUGGUGGGUAGUUUAACUGGGGCGGUUGCCUCCUAAAAGGUAACGGAGGCGCUCAAAGGUCCCCUCAGCCUGGUCGGCAACCAGGUGGCGAGUGCAAGUGCACAAGGGGGCUUGACUGCGAGACCGACGGGUCGGGCAGGUGCGAAAGCAGGAACUAGUGAUCCGGCGAUCCCGCGUGGGCGGGUCGUCGCUCAACGGAUAAAAGGUACCCCGGGGAUAACAGGCUGAUCCUGCCCAAGAGUCCAUAUCGACGGCAUGGUUUGGCACCUCGAUGUCGGCUCGUCGCAUCCUGGGGCUGGAGCAGGUCCCAAGGGUUGGGCUGUUCGCCCAUUAAAGCGGUACGCGAGCUGGGUUUAGAACGUCGUGAGACAGUUCGGUCCCUAUCCUCUGCGCGCGCAGGAGACUUGAGAAGACCUGUCCCCAGUACGAGAGGACCGGGACGGACGAACCUCUAGUGCGCCAGCUGUCCCGCCAGGGGCACCACUGGUUGGCCACGUUCGGACACGGGUAACCGCUGAAAGCAUCUAAGCGGGAAACCACCUUCAAGACCAGGUCUCCGCAACACCCACGGGUGUUGGAAGGCCCCCAGCAGACCACUGGGUAGAUAGGCCAGACGUGCACACCCGGCAACGGGCUCAGCUGACUGGUACUAACAGGCCGACACAAAACACAC
Molecule: ribosomal RNA, 1108 nt
Filed under: human oral metagenome
Description: bacterial LSU rRNA
Rfam family: Bacterial large subunit ribosomal RNA
Source: RNAcentral